RNAcentral lists this long non-coding RNA (1262 nucleotides) under Hordeum vulgare. RNAcentral's name for it is "long non-coding RNA (HVUL_LNC015057)". Lineage: Eukaryota; Viridiplantae; Streptophyta; Magnoliopsida; Poales; Poaceae. The record is from RNAcentral.
AGAUUGCAUCAAGUUAUCUUGUGGGACCAAGUUAGAUGUUGAUUUUCCACGGACAUACAUACAUACCUCCAAUCUUUUGAAAACAUAUAAGAUAGAAAAAUUAUAUUUAGCUGAUCUCCUUCCGUCUCUCUAUUCUUUAACCGCGGGAGGCGCACACAACCUCUCUUCACGUAAGUGCCACCUCUGAUUUGUCCAUGCUUUGUGGUGACGAUCUGUACCAUAAAUCGACGCAAGUUUGUGAAGCCGCCGCCGCUUUCUAUAGUCGGAUCCAUCUGUCCUACAUUGUCAGCGAGACAAAUUGGUUGCAGUAAUCUCAGUUUCCUCACCAUUAUGUGCUAAGGAGUAUUCGGCCGUGAUCUCUUAUUCUCUUUUCCUCUCUUCCUAGGUCUGCCAUGAUUAAUGAUAGUCCCAGCUGACUGCUCUUUCAGUGCAGAGAUCAUAAUCGGUUCCAGCGAAAGGACGGGCUUCUUCACCUUCAAUUGAUCCAUCUGUGAUUUUAAGAUCAACUGCUCCCACGUCCAGGUUUGGCAUUGCCAUUAGGCAUUAGAUAUGGUUCAAUAAUAGUUUGCUUGAUUAAAUGAUUUUAUUAUGUUAUAUUAAUGGAUGUGUUUCACUCCCAAGCAAUCGAAAGAUGGACAAAUUUUGGGUGAUUACAACCCAAGCACUGCAAAAGUUAUCGAACUGUCAGACUCCUAUCUGAAUCCCGACAAAACAGGGCUGAGAUAAGGAGUGUGGGCACACCUGGGUGCAGCCACACCUUUCGAUCCAAGACAGAUGCUAAUAUGCAGAUUAAUAUAUUUUUCUAGGUCGGGACAAAGCUUUCAUACCCAUGUUAUUUUUACCUAACAUUUUCCCUAGAUGUUCAGGAGUUCAAAAUACCAAAUUAUCAUUGAUAUCUUCCGCAAAAAAAUAUAUCAUUGAUAUCAGUGUUCAGGAGUUCAGAAUGCAGUUAAAGUUCCAUGUGAUGUGAAUGACUCAAUUUCAGUAAAGAUAUGUUUGAUUGGUGAGGUCACCUCGAACAAUGAAGAUAUGAUUAAUUUGUGCUGGAUUAUUUGGAAGUAAUAUCUUCCUUUGCUUACAAAUAGUUUAUUUUUGCCUAUAAUCUAUUUGCGCGAGCGUUCCGAAAUACAAUAACCAGCUUUCAGGCAUUUUUAAUCAUGAUGCCCAAUUUUGAGUCUCCCUGCAGCACCGCCACCUUGAUCAUCAUGUGUUCCGAGAACUAAAACCGGACAGAUAGACGUCAGGUUCCCUUCUCUCCCUGC